GGAUAGAGGACACGACCAAGAUGGCGGCGGUGUCUGGCUUGGUGCGGAGACCCCUUCGGGAGGUCUCCGGGCUGCUGAAGAGGCGCUUUCACUGGACCGCGCCGGCUGCGCUGCAGGUGACAGUUCGUGAUGCUAUAAAUCAGGGUAUGGAUGAGGAGCUGGAAAGAGAUGAGAAGGUAUUUCUGCUUGGAGAAGAAGUUGCCCAGUAUGAUGGGGCAUACAAGGUUAGUCGAGGGCUGUGGAAGAAAUAUGGAGACAAGAGGAUUAUUGAUACUCCCAUAUCAGAGGUAAGCCUUCCAGUGGGAAGCAGACCCUGGAGGGCAUGUCUGUUAGUGUCCAUUAUCCUCAUUUUUAUGGAUUUUCACUUAUGUUUAUAUUUUACUUUAUAGAUGGGCUUUGCUGGAAUUGCUGUAGGUGCAGCUAUGGUAUGUAAUACUCUUUAUGAAACUUAUCCAAAGACAUUUCUUGUUUUCUUUUUCUUUCUUUUGAGACAGAGUCUCACUCUGUUGUCCAGCCUGGAGUGCACUGGCACCAUCUCAGCUUCCAGGUUCAAGCGAUUCUCCUGCCUCAGCCUCCAUAGUGGCUG
This 586-nucleotide small RNA is filed under the name Pan troglodytes (chimpanzee). RNAcentral describes it as "retained intron". Lineage: Eukaryota; Metazoa; Chordata; Mammalia; Primates; Hominidae. The record is from RNAcentral.